UGUUGACCUCGGAUCAGGUAGGAAUACCCGCUGAACUUAAGCAUAUCAAUAAGCGGAGGAAA
RNAcentral lists this ribosomal RNA (62 nucleotides) under uncultured Fusarium. Its description in RNAcentral is "partial 28S ribosomal RNA". It matches the Rfam family "Eukaryotic large subunit ribosomal RNA", at positions 1 to 59 of the family's 3401-position model. Lineage: Eukaryota; Fungi; Ascomycota; Sordariomycetes; Hypocreales; Nectriaceae. The record is from RNAcentral.